This 1071-nucleotide ribosomal RNA is filed under the name Pseudoregma sp. south group. Its description in RNAcentral is "partial large subunit rRNA". Lineage: Eukaryota; Metazoa; Arthropoda; Insecta; Hemiptera; Hormaphididae. The record is from RNAcentral.
UAUUUAAUUAAUAAAUUAAAAUAUUUUUUGUAAUUAAUGAUUUUAUAAAAAUAAUUUAUUUUUUUUUGUUUUAGUAUUAAGUUAAAAUUAAUUUUAAGAUUUAUAGAUUAUUAGUAUUGUGAAAGAAAUUUUUUAAAUUUUAAGAAGAUUAAUUUUAGUACCUUUUGUAUCAGGGUUAAUUAAAAUUUUUAAUUAAUAUUUAAUUUCUCAAAAUUUACAGAGUUAAUUUUAUUAUUAAUUUAUUGUUUUAUAAAUAUUUAAAAAAUAAUUUUAGUUUAAAAAUUUAAUUCGUUGUAUUAUAUUUAGUUAUUUAAGAUUUAAAUUUAAUUUAUAAUUUUAAAAGUUAUAUUAAUUUUUUUUAUAUUAAUAUUUUAGAUUUAGAUUAUUUUAGGGAUAAGCUUAAAAUUUUUAUAUAAUCAAUUAGAUUUAAAUUAAAUAUUUUAUAGAAAUAGAAAUUUUUAUUUAAAGUUUGUAAAAAUUUAUUAUUUAUUUUAAUUUUAAUUUAUUAUAAUUAAUUUAUUUUUUAUAUUAAAUUUUAUAAUUAAAUUAUUUAAUUAUAAAAAUAAUGAUUAAAUUAGUAUAAUUUUUUUUUUAUUAAUUAUGAAUUUGGCAAAUAUUAUUUUCAUCUGUUUAACAAAAACAUUGUAUUAAGUUUAAUUUAAUAUAGAAUCUGCUCAAUGAUAAUAAUUUAAAUAGCUGCAGUAUUUUGACUGUGCAAAGGUAGCAUAAUAAUUAGUCUUUUAAUUGAAGAAUAGAAUGAAAGAUUUGAUGAAAAAUAAACUUUAUUAUUAAUAUAAUUAAAAUUUUAUUUUUAAGUAAAAAAGCUUAAAUAUUUUAAAGGGACGAUAAGACCCUAUAAAACUUUAUAAUUAUUAUUUAUUUAUUUAUUUAGUAAAUAAUAAUUUAAAUUUUAAUAAUUAUUUUAUUGGGGUGAUAAAAAAAUUUUUUUAACUUUUUUUAAAAAUUAACAUUAAUUAUUGAUUAUUUGAAUUAAAAUUUUUAUUUAAAAGAAAAAGUUACUUUAGGGAUAACAGCGUAAUUAAUUUUUUAAGUUCAAAUUUUAAAAUUAGU